Molecule: non-coding RNA, 107 nt
Organism: Heliocybe sulcata
Lineage: Eukaryota; Fungi; Basidiomycota; Agaricomycetes; Gloeophyllales; Gloeophyllaceae
Source: the annotation of a GenBank genome assembly
GUCUCCUUAGCUAAGUGGUUAUAGCAUGCGAUUGCAGUUUGCCACGGGUAGACAUAACCGGGGAGACAGUCAUCGCAGGGUCCCGUGUUCAAAUCACGGAGGGGACU